GGAAGUAAAAGUCGCAACAAGGUUUCCGUAGGUGAACCUGCGGAAGGAUCAUUACAGUGUUCUCUGCCCUCACGGGUAGAAACGCCCACCCUUGUGUAUUAUAUCUUUGUUGCUUUGGCAGGCCGCCCUCGGGCACCGGCUCCGGCUGGAUCGCGCCUGCCAGAGGAAACCCAAACUCUGAAUGUUAGUGUCGUCUGAGUACUAUCUAAUAGUUAAAACUUUCAACAACGGAUCUCUUGGUUCUG
This 245-nucleotide unclassified non-coding RNA is filed under the name plant metagenome. RNAcentral's name for it is "partial contains small subunit ribosomal RNA, internal transcribed spacer 1, and 5.8S ribosomal RNA". The stretch from base 1 to 54 matches the Rfam family "Eukaryotic small subunit ribosomal RNA", at positions 1778 to 1831 of the family's 1831-position model. The record is from RNAcentral.